GGCCAGUUGAAGGACCAUCUGGGUGCGGGAGUUUCUCGCUGCAUUGAAGACCAAUUGGUGGCCUUCGCUGUUGUCCGCUAGAUAUAGUCGGGUUGUUGUCUCUUUGACACAUUCCCCAUUUCCAUUCUCAAUUUUAUGUAGGCGACGCAUGUAGUAAAAAAUAUAACAGUUUCAUAGUUUUACGAUCAUGGUCAUUAACAAAAUAUCCAGAGGGGACACCUCCUAGUAUAUUUCGAUCAUUCUAGAUCUUUAUCUGUAGGAAACGUUGUAGAUACAAAUACUGGCUUAAAUACAACGGCAAAGAGAGCGCCGUAGAUAUAUUGACAAUGGACGAGAGCAGUUUCUGAACGGCUGUCAACGCUCGGUGUGCGCACUACAGUUUCUUCAAGGUGGUUCCAUUCGAAUAUUGUUUUUACGAAAAAUGAGUUAGAAAAUUAUGGUAUUUUGCUGGUUGAAAUUUCAAAACACUUUGUGUAGUUUUUGAUCUGCAUUUUAUUCCACAACAUUUCUGGACUGAUAAUUGUUUAUCGGGCCCUUGGCAGCAAUUCAGCGUUCAUUUUGGACGACCAAAUUUUUAAUUGUCUGGUUAUAUAGCACUGAGAAACAAGCCUCUCGACCACCUUGUAUAGAAAUAUUAGCUUAAUCUGGCUUGAGCGUUUUGUCUGUAUGUCUUGUAGUUUCAGUUUGGUGAGCGUGUUUGAGACGCAACCAACUUCUCUGGAUUUGUAGUCUCCUGUUAUAAAUGUCGCAGGUUGUCGCUGUAGUGAUGUUAGUAGGUGUGUGCACAUACUUACAGGAGGCUUAUACACUUAAGAAGAAACCGAGCGCCAUCGGUCGUCAUAAUGAUCGUUAGCAUAAUACAACGAUGACAUUUCACACAUUGAAUUUAACGAAUCGACAAGUUACAAAUCAUCAAUAUACAAACUGACAAUUUACGAAUCGACAAGUUACAAGACAUCAAUAUACAAAUUGACAAAUCAC
RNAcentral lists this long non-coding RNA (981 nucleotides) under Mytilus galloprovincialis (Mediterranean mussel). Lineage: Eukaryota; Metazoa; Mollusca; Bivalvia; Mytilida; Mytilidae. The record is from RNAcentral.